This 71-nucleotide transfer RNA is filed under the name Loxodonta africana (African savanna elephant). It matches the Rfam family "tRNA". From Rfam's summary of the family: Transfer RNA (tRNA) molecules are approximately 80 nucleotides in length. The record is from Rfam by way of RNAcentral. Lineage: Eukaryota; Metazoa; Chordata; Mammalia; Proboscidea; Elephantidae.
GCAGUGAUGAUUCAGUGAUAGAAUUCUCACCUUCCAUGCAGGAGACCCAGGUUUGAUUCCCGGCCAAUGCA